AUGCUUCAACAGAAAAGAGAGAAUGAAAUCAACAAGUACAAUGGUAUCAUUAGCUGUGGGGCUUCCCCGGUAGCUAAGACUGUAAAGAAUCUGCCUGCAAUGCCAGUUUUAUCUCUGAGUAGGAAAGAUGCCUUGGGGAAGGAAAUGGCAACCCACUCCAAUAUUCUUGCCUUGAGAAUUCCUUGGACAGAGGAGCCUGGAGGGUUGCAGUCUGUGGGGUCACAAAGAGUCAGACAUGACUGAAUGACUAACACUUUUCACUUUCACUAUCAUUAGCUGUGAACCGUUGUCCUAGAAGCGAAUCUAUCUAAAGUAUCUGAAACAGUUAUUCAGAGAUCAGUUUAUGA
RNAcentral lists this long non-coding RNA (347 nucleotides) under Ovis aries (sheep). RNAcentral describes it as "lncRNA (ENSOARG00000026564.1)". Lineage: Eukaryota; Metazoa; Chordata; Mammalia; Artiodactyla; Bovidae. The record is from RNAcentral.